CCUACGGGGGGCAGCAGUGGGGAAUCUUGCGCAAUGGGCGAAAGGCUGACGCAGCGACGCCGCGUGGAGGAUGACGCCCUUCGGGGUGUAAACUCCUGUUGCCCGGGACGAAUGCCUGUUUCGACAGGAGUGACGGUACCGGGUGAGGAAGCACCGGCUAACUCUGUGCCAGCAGCCGCGGUAAUACAGAGGGUGCGAGCGUUGUCCGGAAUCACUGGGCGUAAAGGGCGCGUAGGCGGUCGGGUAAGCGUGUGGUGAAAGUCCGGGGCUCAACCCCGGAUCGGCCAUGCGAACUGUCCGACUGGAGCACGGUAGAGGCACAUGGAAUUCCGGGUGUAGCGGUGGAAUGCGUAGAGAUCCGGAAGAACACCGGUGGCGAAGGCGGUGUGCUGGGCCGUAGCUGACGCUGAGGCGCGACAGCGUGGGGAGCAAACAGGAUUAGAUACCCGUGUAGUC
RNAcentral lists this ribosomal RNA (456 nucleotides) under uncultured Gemmatimonadaceae bacterium. RNAcentral's name for it is "bacterial SSU rRNA". It matches the Rfam family "Bacterial small subunit ribosomal RNA", at positions 338 to 795 of the family's 1533-position model. Lineage: Bacteria; Pseudomonadati; Gemmatimonadota; Gemmatimonadia; Gemmatimonadales; Gemmatimonadaceae. The record is from RNAcentral.